This 195-nucleotide ribosomal RNA is filed under the name Triticum aestivum (bread wheat). RNAcentral's name for it is "partial small subunit ribosomal RNA". The record is from RNAcentral. Lineage: Eukaryota; Viridiplantae; Streptophyta; Magnoliopsida; Poales; Poaceae.
AUGGCCAACAUCCUCCAUUGGGACUUUGCCCCUGGUCUCAAAGUGGAGGAACAGAUCAGACGUAGGUUUGGAUCCUCGGUUCAUUAUGAUCAUGAUCCAAAAACCAAGGAAUUUUUCUUGGUGGUUUCUUUCUCUUCUGCUUCUUUCCCUCUUUUGGUGGAAUCGGUGGGUUUGGUGUUACAAUGUUGCAUUGGU